UAAGAUGGGUUAAUGAUGUGUCACGU
Molecule: non-coding RNA, 26 nt
Filed under: Homo sapiens (human)
Lineage: Eukaryota; Metazoa; Chordata; Mammalia; Primates; Hominidae
Source: RNAcentral